UAGGGAAUCUUCUGCAAUGGACGAAAGUCUGACCGAGCAACGCCGCGUGAGUGAAGAAGGUUUUCGGAUCGUAAAACUCUGUUGUUAGAGAAGAACAAGGACGUUAGUAACUGAACGUCCCCUGACGGUAUCUAACCAGAAAGCCACGGCUAACUACGUGCCAGCAGCCGCGGUAAUACGUAGGUGGCAAGCGUUGUCCGGAUUUAUUGUGCGUAAAGCGAGCGCAGGCGGUUUCUUAAGUCUGAUGUGAAAGCCCCCGGCUAAACCGGGGAGGGUCAUUGGAAACUGGGAGAGUUGAGUGCAGAAGAGGAGAGUGGAAAUCGAUGUGUAGCGGUGAAAUGCGUAGAUAUAUGGAGGAACACCAGUGGCGAAGGCGGCGCUCUGGUCUGUAACUGACGCUGAGGCUCGAAAGCGUGGGGAGCAAACAGG
RNAcentral lists this ribosomal RNA (429 nucleotides) under Gemmatimonadota bacterium. RNAcentral's name for it is "Gemmatimonadetes bacterium partial 16S ribosomal RNA". It matches the Rfam family "Bacterial small subunit ribosomal RNA", at positions 355 to 776 of the family's 1533-position model. Lineage: Bacteria; Pseudomonadati; Gemmatimonadota. The record is from RNAcentral.